AACCUGUGGUAUGCUGAGAAAGCCUGGUGAAAUUGUACUCAGCCUUCAGACCUCAGGUUAGAUGUCAUUUCCUAUGAGAAGCCCACCUCAUUCAGGACGUCCAUGAUCUCUCACAGCCUUCUGUGUUCCUUCCUCAAUACCGUGUUUUAUAGCUUUUUAAAAAAUUCUGUGAUCAUAUUAUGCUCAGCAACAGAGAGAGACUAUUCUUGUUUCCUGUGCCUAGGAUGUGCCUGAUGUACGAAUCUGUCUCCAGCGGGACCAGAAAACCAUAUGUGGCAUUACUUAUAAACCCCCUCUAGCUAUAGAGAUUAAUAUAGAAUCAUCUUUCUUUAUGAGUUUUCCACCAAUAAACUUUUGUAGAUAUAAGCAAA
This 371-nucleotide long non-coding RNA is filed under the name Pongo abelii (Sumatran orangutan). RNAcentral describes it as "lincRNA". Lineage: Eukaryota; Metazoa; Chordata; Mammalia; Primates; Hominidae. The record is from RNAcentral.